GCGUUCCGUAGCUCAGUUGGUUAUCGAGCACCACCUUGACAUGGUGGGGGUCGGUGGUUCGAGUCCACUCGGACGCACCA
Molecule: transfer RNA, 80 nt
Filed under: Escherichia coli
Lineage: Bacteria; Pseudomonadati; Pseudomonadota; Gammaproteobacteria; Enterobacterales; Enterobacteriaceae
Description: tRNA-Val
Rfam family: tRNA
About the family: Transfer RNA (tRNA) molecules are approximately 80 nucleotides in length.
Source: RNAcentral